AGGUUAAGCUACAAAGAGCACACGGAGGAUGCCUAGGCGCCAGGAGCCGACGAAGGACGUGGCGAACAACGAUAAGGCCUCGGGGAGCUGUAAGCAAGCUUUGAUCCGGGGAUGUCCGAAUGGGGAAACCCGGCUGUCUUCAUCGACAGUCACUACUCACUGAAUUCAUAGGUGAGUGAGAGGCAGACCAGGGGAACUGAAACAUCUAAGUACCCUGAGGAAGAGAAAACAAUAGUGAUUCCGUCAGUAGCGGCGAGCGAACGCGGAUUAGCCCAAACCAAGGAGCUUGCUCCUUGGGGUUGUGGGACGUCUCACAUGGAGUUACAAAGGAACCGGUUAGAUGAAGAGGUCUGGAAAGGCCCGCCAGAGAAGGUAAAAGCCCUGUAGUUCAAAACUUGUUCCCUCCGAGACGGAUCCCGAGUAGUGCGGGGCACGUGAAACCCCGUAUGAAUCCGGCAGGACCAUCUGCCAAGGCUAAAUACUCCCUGGCGACCGAUAGUGAAGCAGUACCGUGAGGGAAAGGUGAAAAGCACCCCGGAAGGGGAGUGAAAUAGAUCCUGAAACCGUGUGCUUACAAGAAGUCAGAGCCCGAUCUAUGGGUGAUGGCGUGCCUUUUGUAGAAUGAACCGGCGAGUUACGUUCCCGUGCAAGGUUAAGGUGAAGAGCUGAAGCCGCAGCGAAAGCGAGUCUGAAUAGGGCGAAUGAGUACGUGGACGUAGACCCGAAACCGGGUGAUCUACCCCUGUCCAGGGUGAAGGUGCGGUAACACGCACUGGAGGCCCGAACCCACGCAUGUUGAAAAAUGCGGGGAUGAGGUGGGGGUAGCGGAGAAAUUCCAAUCGAACCCGGAGAUAGCUGGUUCUCCCCGAAAUAGCUUUAGGGCUAGCCUCGGAAAGAAGAAUCGUGGAGGUAGAGCACUGAUUGGGUGCGGGGCCCGCAAGGGUUACCAAGCUCAGUCAAACUCCGAAUGCCAUAGAUUUAGUUCCGGGAGUCAGACAGUGAGUGCUAAGAUCCAUUGUCGAAAGGGAAACAGCCCAGACCAUCAGCUAAGGUCCCCAAGUGUGUGUUAAGUGGGAAAGGAUGUGGAGUUGCACAGACAACCAGGAUGUUGGCUUAGAAGCAGCCACCAUUGAAAGAGUGCGUAAUAGCUCACUGGUCGAGUGACUCUGCGCCGAAAAUGUAACGGGGCUAAACACACCACCGAAGCUAUGGCUUGAUGCUUGCAUCAGGGGUAGGGGAGCGUUGAAUGCGGGUUGAAGGUGUACCGGAAGGAGCGCUGGACUGCAUUCAAGUGAGAAUGCCGGUAUGAGUAACGAAAAGAUCUGUGAGAAUCAGAUCCGCCGAAAGCCUAAGGGUUCCUGAGGAAGGUUCGUCCGCUCAGGGUAAGUCGGGACCUAAGGCGAGGCCGAUAGGCGUAGUCGAAGGACAACAGGUCGAAAUUCCUGUACCA
Molecule: ribosomal RNA, 1450 nt
Filed under: Paenibacillus polymyxa
Lineage: Bacteria; Bacillati; Bacillota; Bacilli; Caryophanales; Paenibacillaceae
Description: partial 23S ribosomal RNA
Rfam family: Bacterial large subunit ribosomal RNA
Source: RNAcentral